GAGCUAACGCAUUAAGCAUUCCGCCUGGGGAGUACGACCGCAAGGUUGAAACUCAAAGGAAUUGACGGGGGCCCGCACAAGCGGUGGAGCAUGUGGUUUAAUUCGAAGCAACGCGAAGAACCUUACCAGGUCUUGACAUCUUUUGAUCACCUGAGAGAUCAGGUUUCCCCUUCGGGGGCAAAAUGACAGGUGGUGCAUGGUUGUCGUCAGCUCGUGUCGUGAGAUGUUGGGUUAAGUCCCGCAACGAGCGCAACCCUUAUGACUAGUUGCCAGCAUUUAGUUGGGCACUCUAGUAAGACUGCCGGUGACAAACCGGAGGAAGGUGGGGAUGACGUCAAAUCAUCAUGCCCCUUAUGACCUGGGCUACACACGUGCUACAAUGGAUGGUACAACGAGUUGCGAGACCGCGAGGUCAAGCUAAUCUCUUAAAGCCAUUCUCAGUUCGGACUGUAGGCUGCAACUCGCCUACACGAAGUCGGAAUCGCUAGUAAUCGCGGAUCAGCACGCCGCGGUGAAUACGUUCCCGGGCCUUGUACACACCGCCCGUCACACCAUGAGAGUUUGUAACACCCGAAGCCGGUGGCGUAACCCUUUUAGGGAGCGAGCCGUCUAAGGUGGGACAAAUGAUUAGGGUGAAGUCGUACAGGGUAAACCCGUAAAAAAGGGGAGACCCCAAGGGUCCAGACCCUGCGCGGAAGUUUAA
Molecule: ribosomal RNA, 703 nt
Filed under: Lacticaseibacillus paracasei
Lineage: Bacteria; Bacillati; Bacillota; Bacilli; Lactobacillales; Lactobacillaceae
Description: bacterial SSU rRNA
Rfam family: Bacterial small subunit ribosomal RNA
Source: RNAcentral